UUUACAUUAUGAAACACACAAAAAGUUUAAUAGAACAAAAAAAAACAUGUCUUACCACAGACUUGUUUAUUAUAUAACAGAAACUUUCAUAAAAAAAUAAAAAUAAUAAUAACUGUGCUAAUUAUAUAUAAUAAAUUUGUAAGGAUUCCGCGGAACCUGGUGUCUCACCUACUUUUGCUGUUAAUCGCAGGCUCAACAAAAAUGAGGAAAAAAAUAAUAAAAAUAUUCCUCUCAUACUAUCUUUUGAUUGAAAGAAUAUUCUAUCCAAGUUUGGUAAAAAUCCAGGAUAGUUUAUGAAUCUAAUAAAUGUUUAACAAACUUUAACUGCAAACUAUAUG
RNAcentral lists this long non-coding RNA (338 nucleotides) under Mytilus galloprovincialis (Mediterranean mussel). The record is from RNAcentral. Lineage: Eukaryota; Metazoa; Mollusca; Bivalvia; Mytilida; Mytilidae.